Molecule: transfer RNA, 71 nt
Filed under: endosymbiont of Polyrhachis macropus
Lineage: Bacteria; Pseudomonadati; Pseudomonadota; Gammaproteobacteria; Enterobacterales; Enterobacteriaceae
Description: tRNA-Cys
Rfam family: tRNA (bases 10-71)
About the family: Transfer RNA (tRNA) molecules are approximately 80 nucleotides in length. Their secondary structure includes four short double-helical elements and three loops (D, anti-codon, and T loops).
Source: RNAcentral
AAUUAUAAUGGCACGUUGGCAGAAGGGUUAUGUAGCGGAUUGCAAAUCCGUUAAUUCCAGUUCGAGUCUGG